RNAcentral lists this ribosomal RNA (254 nucleotides) under uncultured bacterium. RNAcentral describes it as "partial 16S ribosomal RNA". It matches the Rfam family "Bacterial small subunit ribosomal RNA", at positions 524 to 776 of the family's 1533-position model. The record is from RNAcentral.
UACGGGGGGAGCAAGCGUUGUUCGGAUUUACUGGGCGUAAAGGGCGCGUAGGCGGUCAGCACAAGUCAGUUGUGAAAUCUCCGGGCUUAACCCGGAAAGGUCAACUGAUACUGUGCGACUAGAGUGCGGAAGGGGCAACUGGAAUUCUCGGUGUAGCGGUGAAAUGCGUAGAUAUUGAGAGGAACACCUGCGGCGAAGGCGGGUUGCUGGGCCGACACUGACGCUGAUGCGCGAAAGCCAGGGGAGCGAACGGG